UACGUAGGGUGCAAGCGUUAUCCAGAAUUAUUGGGCGUAAAGAGCUCGUAGGCGGUUUGUCGCGUCUGCUGUGAAAACCCGAGGCUCAACCUCGGGCCUGCAGUGGGUACGGGCAGACUAGAGUGCGGUAGGGGAGAUUGGAAUUCCUGGUGUAGCGGUGGAAUGCGCAGAUAUCAGGAGGAACACCGAUGGCGAAGGCAGAUCUCUGGGCCGUAACUGACGCUCAUGCACGAAAGCGUGGGGAGCAAACAGG
RNAcentral lists this ribosomal RNA (253 nucleotides) under uncultured bacterium. RNAcentral describes it as "partial 16S ribosomal RNA". It matches the Rfam family "Bacterial small subunit ribosomal RNA", at positions 524 to 776 of the family's 1533-position model. The record is from RNAcentral.